This 407-nucleotide ribosomal RNA is filed under the name uncultured bacterium. RNAcentral's name for it is "partial 16S ribosomal RNA". It matches the Rfam family "Bacterial small subunit ribosomal RNA", at positions 30 to 526 of the family's 1533-position model. The record is from RNAcentral.
AUUGAACGCUGGCGGCAGGCCUAACACCUGCAAGUCGAGCGGAGCGGCGGACGGGUGAGUAAUGCCUAGGAAUCUGCUUGGCAGUGGGGGAUAACGUCCGGAAACGGGCGCUAAUACCGCAUACCAUCAGAUGAGCCUAGGUCGGAUUAGCUAGUUGGUGGGGUAAAGGCCUACCAAGGCGACGAUCCGCAACUGGUCUGAGAGGAUGAUCAGUCACAGUGGAGCGGCGACACGAUCCAGACUCCCACGUGAGGCAUCAGUGGGGAAUAUUGGACAAAGGGCGAAAGCAUGAUCCAGCCAAGCCGCGUGUGUGAAGAAGGUCUUGCGAUUGUAAAGCGCUGUAAGUUAAGAGGCGUUGCCAACAGAGUAAGCGCCGGCUAACUUCGUGCCAACAGCCGCGGUAAUUC